This 352-nucleotide ribosomal RNA is filed under the name uncultured bacterium. Its description in RNAcentral is "bacterial SSU rRNA". It matches the Rfam family "Bacterial small subunit ribosomal RNA", at positions 29 to 410 of the family's 1533-position model. The record is from RNAcentral.
AACGAACGCUGGCGGCAUGCCUAACACAUGCAAGUCGAACGAGACCUUCGGGUCUAGUGGCGCACGGGUGCGUAACGCGUGGGAAUCUGCCCUUAGGUACGGAAUAACUCAGGGAAACUUGAGCUAAUACCGUAUAAUGACUCCGGUCCAAAGAUUUAUCGCCUAAGGAUGAGCCCGCGUCGGAUUAGCUAGUUGGUGAGGUAAAAGCUCACCAAGGCGACGAUCCGUAGCUGGCUGAGAGGAUGAUCAGCCACACUGGGACUGAGACACGGCCCAGACUCCUACGGGAGGCAGCAGUGGGAAUAUUGGACAAUGGGCGAAAGCCUGAUCCAGCAAUGCCGCGUGAGUGAUG